Molecule: ribosomal RNA, 954 nt
Filed under: Triticum aestivum (bread wheat)
Lineage: Eukaryota; Viridiplantae; Streptophyta; Magnoliopsida; Poales; Poaceae
Description: partial small subunit ribosomal RNA
Source: RNAcentral
AUGUCGCGCCUCUGGUUCCAGGGCUCCGAGGGCCUCGUCUUCGCGCCCUUCGGCGACGCGUGGCGCCAGCUCCGCAAGAUCUGCACUCAGGAGCUCCUCAGCGCCCGCCGCGUCCACUCCUCCCGCCCCGUCCGCCAGGACGAGCUCGGCCGCCUCCUCCGUGCCGUCGCCUCGUCCUCGCCGUCGCCGUCCGAGGGUCGCCCGGUGAACCUGACAGGGAUUAUCGCGGCCUACAUCGCCGACUCCACCGUGCGUGCCAUCAUCGGCAGCAGGCCGUUCAAGGGCGGCGACGCGUGCCUGAAGCUGUUCGAGGACAUGGUCCGCAUGAGGCCCGGGCUGAGCCUGUCGGACCUGUUUCCAUCAUCGCGCCUCGCGAUGCUCGUCAGCCGCGAGCCCGGCCAGAUCAAGCGCUGCAGCCGCGAGAUGCUGCAGAUCAUGGACGCCGUCAUCCAGGAGCACCGGGAGAGGAAAGCCGCCGGUGAGGGAGAGGCCGAAGACGAAGACCUGGUCGACGUGCUCGUCGGACUCCAGGAAGAAGUGGGCUCCCAGCACCCACUGACCACCGAGAACAUAAAGUUCGUUAUGAUUGACAUGUUCGCCGCGGGCAGCGAGACGGCAACGACGGCGCUGCAGUGGGUAAUGGCGGAGCUCAUGCGGAACCCGAGGGUUCGGCAUAAGGCGCAGGAGGAGGUCCGGCGAGCACUGGCCGGCCACAGCAAGGUGACGGAGGAAAGCCUCGGCAACCUCCAGUACCUGCACAUGGUCGUCAAGGAGUCUCUCCGGCUGCACGUGCCGGGCCCGCUGCUGACGCUCCGCCAGUGCAGGAGCCCGUGCCAGGUGCUCGGGUAUGACGUGCCCGUGGGCGCCACGGUGCUCGUGAACUCGUGGGUGAUCGCCAGGGACCCCGCGCACUGGGACGCGCCGGAGGAGUUUCUUCCGGAGAGGUUUGAUUAG